AUCAUUCCUAUAUUUAAAAUCAAGGGAAGAAAAGAGAAAGUGGUUAAACGGGUGCAUUACUAGGCAGGAAGCUGUAGCCUGACAUUUGGUUUUGUUUAGGGGACAGGAACUUGGACACCAAGGACAGCACAAACUUGCCAGCUGCUGACUCUUGUUGGCGUUUUGUUGACAUGGAGAGUAGAUACCAGGGAAGUAGGCAUUCUUUUUAGACUGCACAGUUUCUUUCCCAUGGGUUUAUCUACCAACCUCAUUCCUAACUGCAAAGUCUAACAUCACAGCUGAUGUAACUCUUCACUGAAUAGGACGGUUCAUAGGAAGGUGCACACAGAGAGGCUGAUUUCUAUUGUAUUAUCAAAGUAACUUGUGCUAAGUACUGCAUUCAGUGUCCUACAUACAUUUAAUUAUUCAUAAGGACUGUGAAACAAAUAAUGAUGGAAACAAAGCUCAGAGAGUUGAAGUAUUUUGAUUUAGGCUACACAUCUGGUUAAUUGAUGGAGACAAGUGUUCUUCUGAAUUAUGUUGAUUCUUUCUGUCAUGUUCACCAUUUUGUUAUUCAGAGAUAAUUUUUUAUUUAGGAAUAUGUACUAAGAAGAUACUUAGAAAAGGUCCAAUCUUCUUGGAGAAAAGGAAUUCAUGGUUCUUAUAUCCAUGGUGUACCAUUCAAUAAAUUGAAGACGAAGCUUAUGUAAUAGAUCUUAGUGGUCUGCUUUAAUAAUCUAUCUUCAGAGAAUCCUGUUUCUUUCCAGUACAUAGAUAGUUCAGAAUAAUUUAAGUUAGGUCUACUAGGCUUGUAUUUGUAAGUUGACAAUGACAUUAGGUUGCCAUCAAAAGUUUUGGGUAUCCUUCAUGAGAGAAACCUCUGUGGUUUUGAACCUGGGUGUAGACAUGGCCCAGUGGGAAGCUAUGUUUAAUCAUAGGCUGAGUAACCCUUACAGGGAUGACAGUAUGAAAGGGAGCCAGCUAGAAGACUUCUUUGAUUUUAGUCACCCCAAAUUUCUUUUAGGGAAGUACAGAAGAUAAAUACUUAAGAUUUUUCUCUUUUUAUUAGAGUACAUUAAUUAUAAAGAAUAAUGAGUUUCAUUGUGAAAUUCUUUCCUUCACUCCUUUCUCUCUCCCACUCUCCCUUCCCCCUAAUCUCCCUCUCUUUUCCUUUCCUUUUUUCCUGCCUUCCCUUCCUUUCCACCCAUCUCUUUCACAAAAAGUCUCACUGUAUUUUCUAGGCAGACUUUGAACACUCAUUUUCCUGUCUCCAUCUCAUUAUUAGUAGAGUUCAGAUAUGAGCCACCAUUCUUAUUCAUUUCAAUACUUUCAUGCAUUCAUUUAAUAGUUUGACCAUACUCCCUCUCUCUUGUGCUUGCCUGUUUUCUCUCCCCAGUCUACUUUUCUUCUCACACAGAAUCUCUUUAUUAAUGACCAGAUCCUCCCUCUCCCCCUCUCUCACAUCCUUCCCACUGUUUUUACUCCCUAUCUCAUAUUCCCCCUUAAAUGAUUCCUAUUUUUUAACAAAUAUUUUUCCACAAUUAGAAUUUUCUAAGCAGCAUUGCAAGACAACGCCUCUUAAUUUAGUGUAGCCUCAUUCCACUUGUAAAAACUAGAGUGAGGCUAUGGAGACCCAGCUCAGAGAAGUAAUGUACUCUCAGAGGAGAAUAUGGUUAGGGCCAUGAACAAUUUGAAAGAUAAGGAUACUCAUAGACACAGGUAAGAUUCACCACCAGGCAAGAAAUUACUAACCAUGCCUGGGUCACACAUAGACACAUAAUAAAUGGUUCUCUCUUUGGCAUCAGUUGCUACUAAAUUGUUUUCCCAUUCUUCCAGGAAGUGAGUCACAUAAUGCAGAAUGCAUCUAUGUUUCCAGGAAUAUCGUACUUAAGUUACAAUAACUUAAUUCUGAUAUGUUUAACAUCAACUAAAAUGAAAAUGCUUCACAGAUCCCAAACAAGAGAAAGUUCCUAAAAGGGCCGAGGAGCAUGAAUUAUUGCCUAGGGGUUGUUGAUGAGACACCUUAAUGGAAUCUGGGUAAUAAAAUCAAACUCUAGUGAAGAUGCAUUCUUAAUCAAAAUUCUAUUGCCACAGCAACAGAAGUACCUUGAAAGGGCUACAUAGCAACAGGCCAAUACUCUACAAAUGUCUAUGGUAACAAUGCAGAAAAAUUGAAGUUCAUGUUUUUUUUUUUUUUGAAACCUAAUUCCUGACUCCUUGCUUCACUGAUAUCACUGUAUAAGUUCUCAUGGUUUUGGACUGCACAGUGAGCGUCUCUCAUUGUUCCUGUAGCUCACUAUGAAGUAGUUUGGAUGUCCCAAGCCCUUCAGAUGCUCCUGCCUUUGCACCACAGACCGGGAUUACUGAUGCACGGCACCCUUCCUGAUUUUUGCUCGGAAGAUCUAAAUCCAGGACCUUAUGGUUAUGAAACAACACUAUCUCAGCUCCUCGGCAGCCUUUUCUUAAUAUUCUCCUGAGUGUGCAACCCCAGGCCAAUCAUCACACUAGCAGUUGCUGCCCUCCAGCUUGAGCAAAGGCUUAUCAGCUUUUUCCCUGUGCAACACCUGCUCAUCUCUUGAGACCUGGAUCAAGAUUCUCCGUGUGAAGUCUUUGGUCUUAUCUCCUUUCACUCUCCUAUGCAGAGUGAUAAGAAGAAAAAUAACAAUGAUCUACAAGUUUACCUGUGCAAAACUAAUGUCUUACACAUACAAAACACUUGGCCCAGGUAUCUGCUUGAGCUGUGUUCUCAUGCUGAUGCAUUUUCUCCAUUGACCCUCCCAGGAAUUUGAAUUUGGCAUUUAUAUUAUCUUCCUUUCACAAAAAAAGAAAUUGAAGGGCAGAAAGUUUGUCAUUUGCCCAAAGUCACAGAGUCUGUAAGUGCUGCUCUUGGGGUCUGACCCCAGAGAGUCUGGUGAAAGCAUUCAGCUUGUGAUCACGGUGGAAAGCCAUUUUUCAUUCAUGUCUUAUGAUUCCCUAGCUCAAGUCAGUACAGAAUUUACUACUUGUGUAGCAUGUGGUGAGCCAAGGGCUUUCAGCAUCUGUAAUAACAUCCCAUGACAAGGUAAAUGUUAUUUCCUUUGUUUUUCAGACUGAGAUGAAGAUAAUGUACACAUUUUCAUUAUUGGUAACUGACAAGAUUUCUCUUGUUGGCUUGCAGAUCUGAUUUAAUUCAUCUAUGUAUCAGUUAUGUAUCACAGCACUGGUGCCUGCAAAGCCUCUGUAGCUGUUACGUUAGUUCAUUUGAUCUCUAGUUUGUCUUCUUCCACCGACCUCUUCACACUUCUACUUUCCCUUCAGUCUGCAGUCUGUAACUUACCGUUUAGUCUAUAAUCUCCUUUCAUAGUCCACAGCACUAUUCAUUACCCUAAGGGACCCACAGACUCUCCUUUCAUAUGUGUCAUACAUAGCACACACUCCCGUUGUGGUCUAAAGUUAAUGAUAUAAUUAUUUGAUUGACAUCUAGACUAUCCACCUUUCCUCACCACUGGAAACUAUGUAGAUCAGACUCGUGCUUAUUUCAAUUAAUCUUUGCCUUCUGUAAUGGUUUCCCUCACAUAGUUUCUCAAUAAAAAGGUCUCGUGGUUGGCCAGUAGGGUGAACGAGCAGAUAAAAUGCAUGCUGCUCAAGUUGGAUUCCUGAGUCUAGUUCCUGGAAGCCAUCUAAAGGUAGAAGAAACAAUUCAGCUUCCAAAAUAUGUCUUCUUGCAUGUACAUGUACGAACACACACACACAGUGGCACACAGGUCCCACAUACACAUACAUCACACACAAGUACACAUGUAGUCAUAAAUAAAACCCAAAAUCUCCACAUUAGUAAAGAAAACAUUUUUAAGUGUACAGAUUAUUAAUUGUAACUAUUCUUUGAACUUAGAGGGAGGUGAGGGCUCUAUUCUCCUACUCUGUAAAAUGGUGCCCACAGUCAGCUUACUACUCAGGCUUUCCAAGUGAGUCCUGUCUUUAAUGUGAAAGAGUCACAGGACCAUUAACUACUAGACUUUCGCCUUAUAUAUGAAGUAGGAAUCUUAGUCAGUCCAUGUAUAGAGAAUCCAUGUAUAGUAGAACCAAAAGUGAGAUAACUACUUUUAACUACUAGACUUUCGCCUUAUAUAUGAAGAGAGUCAUUUCUGGGCAUGCGUUUCACCACACUUUACUGCAGUAAUCUCUUCAUGGGUCAUGGACUGACUGUAGGCAACUCUGCCUUUCUGGGCCUCUGUUUCUCUCUUGAUUGCUUCAGAACAUCAUUUGUGCCAAGGAAUUAUGAGCUAUGAGUCAGCAACCCAGGCUGGCCUUUGGUGUUUUUCCUUUCCCUGCUAGAUACUGCAGUUUCUCCCUAGCAUUAUUUUGGCUUCAUGUGAAUAUGAGAAAGCAGUAGUUUUGAGGUUUUGAGAAUGGAAAAUACUUCAAGUAUUAAUAACCAACCAGGCUCCAGGAUAGAAAGCAUUGUAUUACCCAGACUAAUGUAGGUGUGUUUCAUAAACACAUAUACUUCUUCAGUCCAAGUAGUCAUGAUUUGUCCCCUUCCAACUCAUUCAUGGUCUUCAUAGAACUCAUAUCUGGUCACACUUCUCUCUCCCUUAAUGCUCAUCAGUGGUUCCUCAGAAAGAGUAAGGCCCAGUGCCUAUGUGGCCACCAACAUUGUGCAUAGGUUUGAUCCUGUCUUACUUCCAGACUCUUCUUCAAGAUGCAUCAGUAGUUUCCCCAAUUUAUUUUUCUUUAAUUUUUCUUUUUGACUAAAAAAACUAUCUACUUCUUGCUGUAUCAGAGUUUCUGCAUAUAGUCUUCACUGCCCUGGAAGACCUCUCCUUAUUUUCAUGUCCUUUUUGUCUAGAUAACUCCUGCAUGUCACAUCCUCAAGGAAACCUCCUUUGACCCUUCGAGUAGAUCAGGCUACUUGUAAACUCCCACCCCAUUUUACCUAAAGUUUCAAGCAGUGCUGAUAAUAAUUGAAACUAUUUGUUACAACUGUUGGAUACAUAUACAUGUCCAUGAGACCAGGACCCACGCCUUUCCUAUUCAUGUGGCAUGAGUCUUCAACAUAUGUUUACUGCUAUUACUGUCAUCAUUGUCAUCAUUGUCACCAUCAUGUAAAGACCCACUGCUUGGUAUAGAGGGAAUGUUUGGAAUGUCUGGGGAUAGACAAAACAUCACGAUCAUAAAAUCCUCUCAGACUUAAUGCAUUACAAAUAUCAUACUUUUUUUUAAACAUAUGCUCCUUUAUAAACCUGUUCUCUUUAAUCAUUACCUUCAUGCUUUCGAAACAAGGUAUUCUAUUCUUCUGUGUGAUAUUCUAAUGGAAAAUUACAGUUUCUCAGUGGUUGCAGAAUAGUAGAACCAAAAAUGAGAUCUAAGAAGUGAUUGAUGUAUCCCAGUGGAUCAGCAUAGUCCUCCUGUGUAUAAUUCACACAGACAGGAGAAUGAGAAAGCUUGAGUCAUCAGGGAGAAUGUAAAGGUUUGCAAAGAGCUACCCAGAAUUCCAGGUAUCACCAGGAAGGCCCAGAGAGCAAACCAUUUCUUUUAAGUUUUCACUCAAUACUCUUAUCAGCUCGCCCAAUUCUGUUUACAUCAUACCAACCUCUUCAGGCUUUGGGGAAAUAACCUAAGGUUCAACUAUCUAUUUGUGUGGGAGUUGUUCAGCGUUAAUGGAAUACUGAACUCUACCUGUAGCACACAGAGAACAACCAGACAGUUCUCAGAACAGAGAGAAAUGUCUCAAAACAAAUGCAAGUACACUCAGGAAAUAGCUUCAAUGUCCAAGGUGGGUACAAUGCUUCAGAUUUAAUGCAAAGUGAAGUGUUCUCUAGAGUUCACAUUUGCUCCUUCCUGAGGUCAGUACUUAAGAUUAUAAAAGUAGCACUGGACUUGGUACAGUGCCUUUCAACCUGAGUAGAGAAGACCACUUUUUAAUUUUCCCAAAUGAGCAAUGUAUACUAUAUAUUUCUAGUUCUUCCCAUGUGACAUUGUUUUAUAUGCAUAAACCCUAUGGAUUCUACCAUAUUGAAUUGUCUCAGGGUUCAGGGAAGGUUUUGUAUGAUCUGUUCUUCUUGUCCACUAAUGUAUAAAUUCAUUUUAGAAAAUGAGUAUGAUCUAUUCUUCCUAUCCACUACUGGAUAGAUUCAUUUUAGAAAUUGUACCAACGGUGGUUUCUUAACAAUGAAGACUUUUACUCAAUUUAUUAGGCUUCAGCUAGAACCUGUGCUUUUUCAUUAACAACUUCAUAGACAGACUGGGAGGAGCAAAACUUUAGUUCCAACAUCACCACUAAAUGUGCUGAAUCUGCUUGAAUGUCUCCAGUGACAAGGAGGCCAUGCCGAGUCAUCAAAUGUUCUACGUAUUAAGUGCUACUUUGUGUCCUUGUCCAGUCAGUUAUUCCAUUUAUAUAUAAAGUGAUAGAGCUAAAACAGUAUGAUAUUUAUUAUAUAUAAGUACAUAUAAAUGUAACAAGAUUACUAUUUUCAUUACUCAUUAUUGCAUCUGAGUGACUGAGAUGCAGGCAAAGUUAACACAGUAUCUAAGACUCGCACGAGGGGAUAAGGUGGGAUUUGCCUACAACUUCACUUGGAGCUGUGACUUGAUCUUAUGUAGGCUGUGGCUUUCACAUCUUUGGCAAUUUGGCUUUUCACACCUGUGGUACUCCUUGGCAUGUCAUUAUAUUUAAUUUGUGAGUGUUAGCCUAGGUUUUUCUCACAAUUUGUGUUUUUGUAGCAGGUCCAGGAAUAGACUACAGGUCAACAAACUAUGGCCCAGGGACCACACAUCUGGUCUAUCGCCUGUUUUCUUAAAUCAUCCAAUUAAAACAUUUUAUUGGACCACAGCAGAUACAUGUCUGUAUUUAUAGAUGUGCAUCACUGGUCAAGUUUUGUGUAAAGUUAGACCCAUAAUUAUUUGUGCUACAAUUUUAAAGUCACUUUUAAAAAUUUUUAAAUUUUUUUUCAUCUUUAUUAACUUGGGUACUUCUUAUUUACAUUUCAAUUGUAAUUCCCUUUCCCGGUUUCCAGGCCAACAUUCCCUUAGCCCCGUCCCCUUCCCUUCUCUAUGGUUGUUCCCCUCCCCAUCCUCCCCCCAUUACUGCCCUCCCCCCAAUAAUCACAUUCACUGGGGGUUCAGUCUUGGCAGGGCCAAGGGCUUCCCCGUCCACUGGUGCUCUUACUAGGCUAUUCAUUGCUACCUAUGGGGUUGGAGCCCAGGGUCAGUCCAUGUAUAAUCUUAAAGUCACUUUUUAGAGUAGUUUUAACACAUUUCAGAUAAAGGAUGGUUGUCUUCUAAACAGGGCACAGUUGAUACUUACACAGUUGAUACAUAAACACACCAAGAUUGUCACAGACAAACAAGGAUGAAUAUUCACCUCAGCUCCUAUUAUACAUGCUUUAAAUUAGGAUAUAGAAAAGUAAAACAAAGCUUAUUGUUUCUGAGCCCUUUCUAGAAUUCUCUUAAGACAAGUGAAAUAAUUUCUCAUUCUCCAAUUCUCUUUUGCAUAUUACUUGUAUUUUCUUCACAAAAGGAGCUUUCUCCAUCUAGAGGUAAUCAGUUAGUCUCUCUCACUUCACUGUCACUCCAAAACCCCCAUGUUGGAUCAGCUAAGUUCUAGUCAACAAUGUUCCCUGGCGUGGGAUCAUAUUUAUUUUAUAUGAGUGUCAGCCUAGGUUCUUUUGACAAUUUGAGAUAUUGCAUCAGGUAUAAAUAGACUACAGGUCAGCAAGCUAUGGCCCAGGGGCCACAUCUGGUCUACUACCUAUUUUCAUAAAUCAUCCAAUAAGAACAUUUUAUUGAAUCACAGCCAAGCCCAUUCGUUUACAGGCAAUCUAUUGCUGCUUUUGCAUUCUGACAUUAGAGCCGAAAAGGUGUUAAAUAGACCAUCCAAUCAUAAAGUCCGAGAUAUUUACUAUCUGCCUCUCUGGAUAGAGCAAUAUGAAGUCUGAUUAGCUCUUCUACACUCAUAUUUCCAAUUUUCUUCUGGUCUGCUCCCAAAUCGCAGUGGCCACUUAGGAAGAACCACAGUUGCAGGAUAGUGAGCAGAGGUAGGCGUGACAAACCCGUUCAGGUUUCCAUGCACUGUUGGUGUUUGUAGGUUUUUGUGCGAUGGGGUCAUAAUCUCAUUAUGGGUAUUGAUAUUCCAGGUCUAGAUGCCCAUAACUAUGACUAGCAAUGUUACAAUUACAAUUAAAGUUGAAGCAACAGCACAAGACAAUCUGAACCCUAUUGCAUAGGCAGGUGCCUUGGGGACAGCCGUCACAGGUCUGAGUUUAUGGGAUGGGGCCAGACACACCUACUCACAUGUACUCAUUGCUCAUUUGGCCUUUCUUCCAAUGUCUCUCUAUUCCUUACCCUUUUGGCUGUAUGUAUUCUGUCUCAUUAGGGCUGGGAUUAUUUCUUUCUUUUGCCAUUUUUAACAAUGAUGAUAGCUAAUGCUUAUUGCAUAUCUCAUCUCAGCAGUCAAGAUUUUAAAGCCAUUACCUUGUUUAGCCCCUUUAACACAUGCAGUGACACAUCCAGUCAUUACUGCCGUUAUAAAGAGGGAGAAUCUGAAGCAAUGCAUGAUUAAGCAGCUUGCUCAAGGCCACACAACCAGAAACCAUCAGAUCAAGGAAAUGAACCUAGGAGCCCGAGAACUUACACUAUCAAUCUCUGGUUCCUUUAUCUCUGGCACAUACUGUUGCUAGUAUAUUAUUUCCUAUUUUUUUCUAGGACACAGAUUCUUUUAGGGAGAUCUCUUUGAGAAGCUAUAGAUAAGGCACACACUCCACAAAUCUGAUGAUCAAUUUUACCCAAAUGACUAGCGGCAGCUUACAACAAUAGGACAACGUACGGAUACCCUCUGGGUCUUUAAGUAAGAUGUUUAUCACAGAUAUGGGAGCAACAUUUGGAGUGUGCUGCUUACAAAAGGCAACCAUAUAUAUUAUUCAUUCAUGAGACACUAGUAACAUUAUGGUUCCAGCUUUCUGCUCAUGAAAGCUAGAUGGAUUGUCUAAGUUCCCUAAGACAUUCAUCCUGGGCCCUGUGAGGUUCAAAGACAUGUAUUCAACAUCUAGCAAUCUUGGCAGGAAGUGUAGAACUGAAAACAUCUCUCUUCUUCCUUACAAACAAAUUUUUACCUUUCCUGAAUUACAAGCCUGCACACAUUUCUACUGCUUUACUGGUCGCCUUAGCAUUGGGUUAUCUUUCUAUUCUACUUGCAUUGUAUACAGGUGAAAGCCAGAAAUGAAUUAAAGGGGAGAUAUUAAAGUUAAGUGACUAUAAUUAUAUGAUGUCCAGGCUAAUAGGAAGACGAGUUGCUGGCAUGUUAGAGAUCAUCUAAUCCAUUCACUUAUUUUUAUUGAUGGCAACGCUGUGUGUCUUUUAUUUAUUUAGCACUCUGCAUGUGUCAAGCCGUCUGAUAAUGCCUCAAUGUGGAUUAGGUAAUUUAAAGCACAUGGCAGCAACAAUAAAUCAAAAUUCCUGUUAUCAUCACAACUUUCUCAUGACAGACAUAGUUUAAACAACACCCACCCCCAUCGAAAAGCAAGUCAUUUAGUCUAGGCUUUGUACUUCACCUGAUUCCAGAUGCUCUGUGUCUACAGGUACUGCAUUAUUUCUUCAUCUAAGCACACUUAGGCCCAUAAUGAGAAAAGUGAAUGACUGCCUUCAUGAUAUACAAAUAAUGCAGAAGGGAGUAGGAAAAAAAAACUCAACUCUAUUCCCAAUAUUAUCUGCCACCUUCUCAUGUUAAUAUGGCUGAUAAAAUAAUUGUUCCUUAUAAUAUCCUCACCUACUGUUUAUGAGAGUAUAAAUUUCUGGUCUUUUUUCCAUCCUCUAAGGAAUAAUUUCCUGAUUUAAAAUUCCUGUACAACAUCUACAGAAUACCACGGUGGGACCCAUUUACUGAGCCUCUGGAAGUCUUCGUGUCUUUCUGUUUCAUUAAUAGCAACACGAAAGUGAGGCCCAUUGUCAUGGUCUCCGAGUUACAUAUCUGUCUUUAGACACCACCGAGAGAAGCCUGAGUGCUGUAGGGUUUCUGCAGAGCAGUCAUUGCGAUUCUGCUACAGCACUUCUGGGCAUUUCUUUGUUUCCUGCUUUUCUUUCAUGCAAGUCAUUCGGCUUUGCUCCUUCGCUGUUCCUGGCUCUAAUGCCUUCUUUUUCUGUUCAUCUGACACAGCCUAUCCUUUUCAAUCCAAUGAGCCUCUUCCAAUUGUCUUAUUGAAAAAAAUCUCCCCUAAAUCCCACUUAAAACUGACAUAUAGACCAAUGGAACAGAAUAAAGAGCCCAGAAAUAAAUUCAUGGAUUACAGCCAACCAGAUCUCAACAAAGGUUCCAGGAGCACCAAUAGGGAAAAGGACAAUCUUUUCAAAAAACAGUGUCUGGAUGACUGGGUAAAUGCAUGCAGAAGACUGAGAUUAGAUUACUAUCAUAUUGCAUACAAAAUUAUCUCUAAAUGCACGAAAUACUUAAAUAUGAUGCUUUAUACUAUGAAACAACUACAAGAAAAUACAGAGGGACUACCAUUUAACACUCACUCAGUUACUGACAUUUUGUGGGAUAUUUUUUAAUUCUUUAUUUUACAUAUAUGAAUGUUUGCCUUAUGUCUGUGCAUGACAUGUGUGUAGGACUUGCAGAGGCCAGCGGUGGGUCUAUAACUCCCUAGGACUGGAGUCAUAGAUGGUGGUGAGUCACCAUGUGGAUGUUGGAAAUCGCAUGUAAGUCCUGUGGAAGAGCAGCCAGUGCUCUUAACUACUGAGUCAUCUCUCCAGUCCUAGUGAUUUUUAAAAAUAUGACCCAUAAUGUACAGGCAACCAUAAAAAUAUGUAAUCAUAGGGUUAUUGUGCAAUGCUUGUCAUUUAUGUGGUUCAUGGAUGUCAUAGCUGGUAAGACUGUUGGUUGCUUCUCUCCUCUGGAAGCUUGUAUGCACCUUCUUGUCCUAUGAAACUGAGUCAACAAAGUUGGGGCAUUCAACUCAGUUCCAGCUCAGAGGUCUCUGGGCCCAUUUCUGAAGUGUUAGUCCUUUCUACCUCUAAGAAGUAACAGCUCUCUAACUGGACUUAGGACCUGUUCAACAGGAGAUUUACCAUGCUUGGUACUAGAAACCUAGCCAAUUUCUAAGUACUAAUGAAGUCAUGGUUAGUGAAGGAUAAUAUACAGUCACUAAGUUAUUAACCCAGCACAAACUCUAACAACAAUUUACAAAUAUUUGUCUUUAUACCCACAGGUAAGUGCAGUCUUUGUCCUUCAUCAAGGAAACUUCUCUUUGCCACAGACAGAGACCACUACAAAAAAACCAUAGUCAAUCGAACUGCUGAACCCAGUCCCAGUGGCUACAUCUACAAAAAUCACCUGCACCUAAAACUCAGGCAAUACCAUGGAAGAGAAGGGAGGGGUUGUAAGAACCAGAGGAUCAGGUCUUUACUGUUAGAUCAUAUCUCCCAAUAGUACCAGAGGCUCCAUCAUAAAGUCGUAUCAACAUGGCUGCCCAAAUGGUAGCCCCCAGCACAAGAGACUGAAUCUCAUUAUUUCAUUUCCCGAGGCUGGAGUCUGCCUAUGGAGUUUGCAGUGGAGCCACUGUGAUGGAGGGGCUCUCAGAGAUUCAGAAGAGAAGGCCUCCUUUCUUCCCUUCCUCUCCAGGGCAGCCUGCCAGUCAGGGUCUUCCCAGUUGUGUCCGUGGAGGCCACAUUGAAAUUAGUAACUGGGCUAGCAUUUGCUUAUCUUUUUUAUUCAGCACAUUUGCCCCAGUUAGAUGAAUCACAAGAGCAGUACAAGUAGCACUUUGCUUUGUGAGCCAAGCAUCAGAGGGCAGCAGUCAGUUGGGUUAGAAAGGCGCUGGCUUUCUCCUGCUUCUGCAAAUUGGAGUAAAUGCUCAUGUGUAAUAAAAAUUGCCGUAAUUCAUUAAGUUUGCAGUUGAGGAAAAAAACGAGGAGUAAGCAAUUUGGUUAAGGUUGGAUAGUGAAGGGAGCCAUGUCACAUGCACACAUAACAUUUACACUUGCAUGCAACCUCUCAGCAAUAAACUGAGAACAUGAACUGACAGGAUAGGUGAAAUCUAGAAGAGUAGGUGAGCUGUGAGAUCUCUCUCCCUGACCAGGUAGGAAUAGAGAUAGUGGGUAAGUGUCACUACAAUAUGGUCAUAGCGUAGAGAAAGAAAAAGUGGGACGUUGACUCAGAGUCUUGAUGUGAUUUGAUUUACAUAAUUAUCCGAGUUAAACAUAUUUUAUUAAUUUAGAAAUGUGAUUGUGGGGUUGAAGAUUCAGUUCAGUGGUAGGGUUAGCUUCUGGGUGCACAUGAGGUCCUGGAUUCACUCCUAGCUACAAAAACAAAAAUAAAAAACUCAUUCUUAGUGGUAA
Non-coding RNA from Rattus norvegicus (Norway rat), 12285 nucleotides. NCBI's taxonomy places the organism in Eukaryota, Metazoa, Chordata, Mammalia, Rodentia, Muridae. The record is from RefSeq and is a predicted model, not a curated record.